Molecule: ribosomal RNA, 496 nt
Filed under: uncultured bacterium
Lineage: Bacteria
Description: partial 16S ribosomal RNA
Rfam family: Bacterial small subunit ribosomal RNA
Source: RNAcentral
GAUGAACGCUGGCGGCGUGCCUAAUACAUGCAAGUCGAGCGAACGGACGAGAAGCUUGCUUCUCUGAUGUUAGCGGCGGACGGGUGAGUAACACGUGGAUAACCUACCUAUAAGACUGGGAUAACUUCGGGAAACCGGAGCUAAUACCGGAUAAUAUUUUGAACCGCAUGGUUCAAAAGUGAAAGACGGUCUUGCUGUCACUUAUAGAUGGAUCCGCGCUGCAUUAGCUAGUUGGUAAGGUAACGGCUUACCAAGGCAACGAUGCAUAGCCGACCUGAGAGGGGGACGGGCCACAGGGGAACUGAGACACGGCCCAGACUCCAAGGGGGGGAAGCGGUAGGGAACCUUCCGCAAUGGGGGAAAGCCUGAGGGAGCAACGCGGGGUGGGGGAUGAAGGGUUUCGGAUCGUAAAACUCUUUUAUUAGGGAAAAACAUAUGUGUAAGUAACUGUGCCCAUCCGAACGGUACCAAAUCAAAAAGCCCCGGCUAACUACGG